This 1382-nucleotide long non-coding RNA is filed under the name Salmo salar (Atlantic salmon). RNAcentral describes it as "lncRNA (ENSSSAG00000116680.1)". Lineage: Eukaryota; Metazoa; Chordata; Actinopteri; Salmoniformes; Salmonidae. The record is from RNAcentral.
GGGCCUAUAGGGAGAAUAUAACUAGACCAGGACCAGAGUUAUAGUUAGGGCCUAUAGGGAGAAUAUAACUAGACCAGAGUUAUAGUUAGGGUCUAUAUGGAGAAUAUAACUAGACCAGAGUUAUAGUUAGGGCCUAUAGGGAGGAUAUAACUAGACCAGGACCAGAGUUAUAGUUAGGGCCUAUAGAGAGAAUAUAACUAGACCAGGACCAGAGUUAAAAUUAGGGCCUAUAGGGAGAAUAUAACUAGACCAGGACCAGAGUUAUAGUUAGGGCCUAUAGGGAGGAUCUAACUAGACCAGAGUUAUAGUUAGGGCCUAUACGGAGGAUAUAACUAAACCAGGACCAGAGUUAUAGUUAGGGCCUAUAGGGAGAAUAUAACUAGACCAGGGUUAUAGUUAGGGUCUGUAGGGAGAAUAUAACUAGACCAGGACCAGAGUUAUAGUUAGGGCCUAUAGGGAGAAUAUAACUAGACCAGGACCAGAGUUAUAGUUAGGGCCUAUAGGGAUAAUAUAACUAGACCAGGACCAGAGUUAUAGUUUAGGCCUAUAGGGAGGAUAUAACUAGACCAUGGCCAGAGUUAUAGUUAGGGCCUAUAGGGAGAAUAUAACUAGACCAGGACCAGAGUUAUAGUUAGGGUCUAUAGAGAGAAUAUAAAUAGACCAGAGUUAUCGUUAGUGCCUAUAGGGAGAAAUUAACUAGACCAGAGUUACAGUUAGGGGCUAUAGGGAGAAUAUAACUAGACCAGGACCAGAGUUAUAGUUAGGGUCUAUAGGGAGGAUAUAACUAGACCAGGACCAGAGUUAUAGUUAGGGCCUAUCGUGAGAAUAUAACUAGAACAGAGUUAUAGUUAGUGCCUAUAGGGAGGAUAUAACUCGACCAGGACCAGAGUUAUAGUUAGGGCCUAUAGGGAGGAUAUAACUAGACCAGAGUUAUAGUUAGGGCCUAUAGGGAGGAUAUAACUAGACCAGGACCAGAGUUAUAGUUGGGGCCUAUAAAGAGAAUAUAACUAGACCAGGACCAGAGUUAUAGUUAGGCUUUAUAGUGAGUAUAUAACUAGACCAGAGUUAUAGUUAGGGCCUAUAGGGAGGAUAUAACUAGACCAGGACCAGAGUUAUAGUUAGGGCCUAUAUGGAGAAUAUAACUAGACCAGGAGCAGAGUUAUAGUUAGGGUCUAUAGGGAGAAUAUAACUAGACCAGGACCAGAGUUAUAGUUAGGGCCUAUAGGGAGAAUAUAACUAGACCAGGACCAGAGUUAUAGUUAGGGCCUAUAGGGAGAAUAUAACUAGACCAGAGUUAUAGUUAGGGUCUAUAUGGAGAAUAUAACUAGACCAGAGUUAUAGUUAGGGCCUAUAGGGAGGAUAUAACUAGACCAGGACCAGAG